CUCUUUUUGCUGAGGAGGAUUGGCCCUGAACUACCAUCUGUGCGCAUCGUCUUCUACUUUAUAUGUGAGACACCUGCCACAGCAUGGCUUGAUAAGUGGUGGUUUUAGCUAAGAUUCCAAUUUGAAAAGCUGACUCACUAAAUAAGAGUCCCAGUGCGUGGUUGUAUAUCCUAGUUGUAAGUUAUUCUGGUUCUUCUAUGUGGGCCACCACCACAGCAUGACAACUGACAGACAGCUGGUGUGGUUCUGCUACUAGGAAACAAACCGGGCAGCGCAAGCAGUGAGCACCGAACUUUAACCAUUAGCCCCUCAGGACUGGCUUUGCACCUCUCUUUUAAUCUCACAGUUUUGUCAUGCUUUUGAUCAAAGUGGCUGAAGAAGAAACUGCACAGGUAUGCCCAACCUAGUUCCUGCAGAGACUGCCUGAGAAGAUCUGAGGAGGAAGGAAGGACAGAAAGCUACUGUCAACUUCAUAGCUGCUGACAGGCCCAGCAGCUCUGCACAUGGACUAGCCCACAACCAACAGAGCUGGAGGUUUACAGACACCGACGGAAAGCGAACCCACCUCCAACUCUCUGUGAAUGGUGAACGGGAAAAACCAAAACUGAGGCCAGCCAGGGGUGGGGGAG
Molecule: long non-coding RNA, 629 nt
Filed under: Equus caballus (horse)
Lineage: Eukaryota; Metazoa; Chordata; Mammalia; Perissodactyla; Equidae
Description: lncRNA (ENSECAG00000045723.1)
Source: RNAcentral